RNAcentral lists this ribosomal RNA (474 nucleotides) under uncultured bacterium. RNAcentral describes it as "partial 16S ribosomal RNA". It matches the Rfam family "Bacterial small subunit ribosomal RNA", at positions 33 to 541 of the family's 1533-position model. The record is from RNAcentral.
AGCGAACGCUGGCGGCAGGCCUAACACAUGCAAGUCGAACGAACCUUUCGGGGUUAGUGGCGGACGGGUGAGUAACACGUGGGAACGUGCCUUUAGGUUCGGAAUAACUCAGGGAAACUUGUGCUAAUACCGAAUGUGCCCUUCGGGGGAAAGAUUAAUCGCCUUUAGAGCGGCCCGCGUCUGAUUAGCUAGUUGGUUGAGGUAAUGGCUCACCAAGGCGACGAUCAGUAGCUGGUCUGAGAGGAUGAUCAGCCACAUUGGGACUGAGACACGGCCCAAACACGUAAGGGAGGCAGCGUGGGGGAAUACUGCGAAAUGGGCGAACGCCGGACGCAGACAGGCGGAGUGAUUGAUGAAGUUCUUAGGAUUGUAAAAUGAUUCCACCGGGGAGGAUAAAGACGGUACCCGGAGAAGAAGCCCCGGCUAACUCCGUGCAAGCAGCAGCGUAAUAGUCGGAAGAGCAGACAUCUGAAC